RNAcentral lists this long non-coding RNA (712 nucleotides) under Anser cygnoides (Swan goose). RNAcentral describes it as "lncRNA (ENSACDG00005008825.1)". Lineage: Eukaryota; Metazoa; Chordata; Aves; Anseriformes; Anatidae. The record is from RNAcentral.
GGAUGUAGGGGUAUGGGUGCAGUGACCCAGCCCUGGGUGCUAAUGGAGGGCUGGGAAGCGUCCCUCCACAGCUCACUUCUGGCACCAGCCCCAGAGCAGUGGCAGCCAUGUCCCAGUGGGCAGCCGUGGCCAUGUCACCAUGGUGUCACCAUGGUUGUCAUUGUGACACGGCCGCCUCGAAGGGUACAAAGAGGGCUGCUCCCCCAGGUGCAGGUGCAGGUGAAGCCAUGGAGGCAGAGGGUGCGAAGGGGUCCCUGGAGCAUGCACAGGAGUCCCUGGAGAACAUGGCGGAGGUCUUGGCGCAGGUCGCUCAGGCAAGGGCUGGUGUGGAAGCGGCGCUGGAGGAGUUCCUAAAGUGCAAACGGAGACGUGCAGAGCUGGAAGAGGCUGUUGCUGAAAGAGCCAGUAUCAACAAGGCUCUGAGGGAGGAGAUUAAGAACCUCCAGGAGAGAAGGGAGGUUUUCAAAACGCAAACUGCCAGCAGGGGGAAGAGGAUGCAGGCGGCCGAGGCGCCCAAGACCUGGAUGCAGGAGAUGGUGGCUGCGCAGCUGGAUGAAGAGUUGGCGUCAAGGAGGCACAGAAUCAGUACUUGGCUGCGGUGAGUUGCUCUCGCAGGUCGUGGCUCCCAAGGCAUUAGGCAGCUUUUGACCUCUCCAGGAUAAACUGCCUCAGCAUUUCUUUGUUUCCUGGGUUGGGGAAGCAGGUGGGGGGU